This 1079-nucleotide long non-coding RNA is filed under the name Ursus maritimus (polar bear). Its description in RNAcentral is "lncRNA (ENSUMAG00000005810.1)". The record is from RNAcentral. Lineage: Eukaryota; Metazoa; Chordata; Mammalia; Carnivora; Ursidae.
CGCAGUUUGACCCCAAGAAAGCAGCAAUUUGACCCCAAGAAAGCAGCCUCCCCUUAAGGGCCAAGGAGCCCCGGCACUAUGAAAGUGCCCUCCCUGCUAAGACCCAGGGAGAAGUAAGGGGUGUGAAGGCGGGGCCAUGGGUUGGCGACACCCUCCCGAAGGUCCAGCCCUCGCCCGCCUUCCUACCACCUUAGGGAGCUGGCACGAAGAGCGGGAUCACCCUCUCAAUGAAAGGCAGAUGUCCCUUUAAGGUUUGCUUUGCACUCCGUGGACUUUAGCCUAAACACGAACCCGCGAAGCUGGCUUUAUUUGUCCAUGUCUCGGACAGAGCCUGGGAGGCUGCCAGUGGGAUUUCAGAGACCGAGCGCGCGAAGGGGCGGGCGAUGGGGCAGUAAGUCUGGGAUAUGAAAAGCGUGGAGAGGACCUAGAGGCAUUCGUCGAAAACACAGGAAAUUCACUCUUCGGCUUCUGGGCGCCGCGACUGACCGGGGCCGGAGACUGAGACCUGCGGCGGCAGAGUGGCCAAGAGAUCCAGCGAUUACCCCGGGCUCUGAGGGCACCCCGGCCCAGGCCCCCCGACGCCAAGCCAGCCCAGGGGUCGCUGUCGCCUGCUGUUGGCUUCUCACCGAAUCUCUGAGGAAGAUAACUGAGACGUCAGUAUCAAGACUUGUGCCAAAGUCAGAUUCCUCCUUUUCAUUCUGGUCUCGUCAGUUCGAGGUGUUAAGAUUCCCUUUCAGUGCCAUACACAAAAGAGAAAGAGAAUUGAGAAGGUAUGUGGGUAGGACUUCUCUGUUCCCCUGUGUUUGGGGGGGGGGGUGUUUUUGUUUUGUUGUUGUUGUUUUGAGAUUUUAUUUAUUUGAGAGAGAGCGAGAGAUCUAAAUCGCGACCAGGAGCGGUGGGAGAGGGAGAAGCAGACUCCCCGUUGAGCGUGGAGCCUGUAGGGUCUCAAUCCCAGGACGCUAGAGCUUAUGACCUGAGCUGAAGUCAGAUGCUUAACCCACUGAGCCACCCAGGCGCCCCUCUCCAUCUCAUCCUAACUCUCAAGGAAACUCUGGUGGUCUUUUUCUAUUCACUGAUCU